GAGGGUAUAGCUCAGUGGUAGAGCGCAUGCUUACUGUGCAUGAGGUCCUGGGUUCAAUCCCCAGUAUCUCCA
Molecule: transfer RNA, 72 nt
Filed under: Camelus bactrianus (Bactrian camel)
Lineage: Eukaryota; Metazoa; Chordata; Mammalia; Artiodactyla; Camelidae
Also listed under: 1 other name
Rfam family: tRNA
About the family: Transfer RNA (tRNA) molecules are approximately 80 nucleotides in length.
Source: Rfam by way of RNAcentral